RNAcentral lists this long non-coding RNA (630 nucleotides) under Salmo trutta (river trout). RNAcentral's name for it is "lncRNA (ENSSTUG00000038096.1)". Lineage: Eukaryota; Metazoa; Chordata; Actinopteri; Salmoniformes; Salmonidae. The record is from RNAcentral.
UCUUUUGACUGGUGAUAUUUUCGUUUUACUUUUUUUAAUAAAUUUGCUAAAUUGUAAAAAAACGUUUUUUGCUUUCUCACUAUGGGGUAUUGUGUGUAGAUUGAUGAGGAUUUUUUUUAAAAAAUUCAUUUUAGAAUAAGGCUGUAACAUAACAAAAUGUAAAAAAGUCAAGGUGUCUGAAUACUUUCCGAAUGAGAUAUACGGAAAUAACAUUUUGGAGAGUUGAUAGUACAACAAUGAUUGAGCAUGGCCAUAUUGUAGCACAGUAAAAGUAAAUAGGUCAUCGUUUUUUCUUGUAUAUAUUUUUUUUCCAUCCUCAGACUCUUCAUCCUCUAUUUUUGUGUUUCAUUUAUUCAUCCUUUGAUCCCUUCAUUUAUCCCCUUCAGCACCAUGGCCAUCUCUUGCUUGCAUCACUCCUUCCCAAGCACCAAUCUCUACAUUUUAAAGGACAUUCAUGGACAUAGGCAUGUAAGAUAAGCUUCGUGCCAGUGUUACCUCUACCAUGCCAUCAAUAGAGUGGAUUUCCCGAUACACCAGCACCCUCUUUGUCUAUCUAGGGCUGAAGGAGCCAGCCUGGUUUGAGCUGAUCCUUAGGAUUCAAGGAUCCAGGAAGUUGAGAUCGAGAGGAAG